UCUGUCCUCAACUUGGGAAUAACGGUUGGAAACGACCGCUAAUACCGAAUGUGGUAUGUUUAUGCAUCUAAAACAUAUUAAAGAAGGGGAUCUUCGGACCUUUCGGUUGAGGGAGAGUCUAUGGGAUAUCAGCUUGUUGGUGGGGUAAUGGCCUACCAAGGCUUUGAC
Molecule: ribosomal RNA, 168 nt
Filed under: uncultured Chlamydia sp.
Lineage: Bacteria; Pseudomonadati; Chlamydiota; Chlamydiia; Chlamydiales; Chlamydiaceae
Description: partial 16S ribosomal RNA
Rfam family: Bacterial small subunit ribosomal RNA
Source: RNAcentral